UACGUGGGGUGCGAGCGUUGUCCGGAAUUAUUGGGCGUAAAGAGCUCGUAGGCGGUUUGUCGCGUCCGCCGUGAAAACUUGGGGCUUAACCCCGAGCCUGCGGUCGAUACGGGCAGACUUGAGUUCGGCAGGGGAGACUGGAAUUCCUGGUGUAGCGGUGAAAUGCGCAGAUAUCAGGAGGAACACCGGUGGCGAAGGCGGGUCUCUGGGCCGAUACUGACGCUGAGGAGCGAAAGCGUGGGGAGCGAACAGG
RNAcentral lists this ribosomal RNA (253 nucleotides) under uncultured bacterium. RNAcentral describes it as "partial 16S ribosomal RNA". It matches the Rfam family "Bacterial small subunit ribosomal RNA", at positions 524 to 776 of the family's 1533-position model. The record is from RNAcentral.